GUAUAAUAAAAGAAAAAAAAAAAAAGAAAAAUAAUAUCAGAAAUCAAUAGGAUUGAAUUUGUACUAUUUUGUACUAC
This is a long non-coding RNA of Mycetomoellerius zeteki, 77 nucleotides long. RefSeq lists it as uncharacterized. The record is from RefSeq and is a predicted model, not a curated record. The transcript is spliced from 3 exons. NCBI's taxonomy places the organism in Eukaryota, Metazoa, Arthropoda, Insecta, Hymenoptera, Formicidae.